Molecule: non-coding RNA, 538 nt
Organism: Drosophila virilis
Lineage: Eukaryota; Metazoa; Arthropoda; Insecta; Diptera; Drosophilidae
Source: RefSeq, a predicted model, not a curated record
ACCAACGCGCGCUGUCAACACUGUCAACACACUGUCAAGCCCUGCCAGCUUAUCGAAAUUGCAUUGCCACAUGGAGAAAACGAAGCUUGGCUUUCACUACUGCGAGUGAUCGAUUAUUUGAACUAUCGAUUAGUCUCGAAUGCGGCUCAAUGGCGUAACGCAGUUAACAACAGCUGUUAAUUGGCGUAGUGCAGUCAUAACAUAACACCUGACGCACUUUUCAAGAGAAGCGACAGCAGCACGAUGCGAGAUGGAGCCGUUGGAUGGGGCCUACAUAGAAGGCCGUCGAGGAAAAGAGAUGAAGAGGGGGGAAAAGGUCGCGAUACAAGCGAUUGCAUCGAAUGGGGCUUAACUGAAGCUCACGGCCUUACUCUUCAAGUUCACCGGCAUGGGUUAAUUGAAUACUAUUGAAAUGUAUUUAGAUAUAUGUAUAUAUAUUAUAUUAUUUUUUAUUAUUUAAUAUUAAAAUAUACAAAUAAAUUUAAUAUAAAAUAAAGGCACAAAAACAUUCAAACCGAACAAAGGGUUAAAAAAAAAA